GGCGGCAGGCCUAACACAUGCAAGUCGAGCGCACCUUCGGGUGAGCGGCGGACGGGUUAGUAACGCGUGGGAACGUACCCUUUUCUACGGAAUAGCCUUUGGAAACGAAGAGUAAUACCGUAUACGCCCUUUGGGGGAAAGAUUUAUCGGAGAAGGAUCGGCCCGCGUUAGAUUAGAUAGUUGGUGGGGUAACGGCCUACCAAGUCUACGAUCUAUAGCUGGUUUUAGAGGAUGAUCAGCAACACUGGGACUGAGACACGGCCCAGACUCCUACGGGAGGCAGCAGUGGGGAAUCUUAGACAAUGGGCGCAAGCCUGAUCUAGCCAUGCCGCGUGAGUGAUGAAGGCCUUAGGGUCGUAAAGCUCUUUCGCCUGUGAUGAUAAUGACAGUAGCAGGUAAAGAAACCCCGGCUAACUCCGUGCCAGCAGCCGCGGUAAUACGGAGGGGGUUAGCGUUGUUCGGAAUUACUGGGCGUAAAGCGCACGUAGGCGGAUUGGAAAGUUGGGGGUGAAAUCCCGGGGCUCAACCCCGGAACUGCCUCCAAAACUAUCAGUCUAGAGUUCGAGAGAGGUGAGUGGAAUUCCAAGUGUAGAGGUGAAAUUCGUAGAUAUUUGGAGGAACACCAGUGGCGAAGGCGGCUCACUGGCUCGAUACUGACGCUGA
RNAcentral lists this ribosomal RNA (663 nucleotides) under alpha proteobacterium IMCC14368. RNAcentral's name for it is "bacterial SSU rRNA". It matches the Rfam family "Bacterial small subunit ribosomal RNA", at positions 38 to 749 of the family's 1533-position model. Lineage: Bacteria; Pseudomonadati; Pseudomonadota; Alphaproteobacteria. RNAcentral also lists the same sequence under 4 other names. The record is from RNAcentral.